Sphaerodactylus townsendi is the source of this 190-nucleotide long non-coding RNA. RefSeq lists it as uncharacterized. The transcript is spliced from 3 exons. The record is from RefSeq and is a predicted model, not a curated record. NCBI's taxonomy places the organism in Eukaryota, Metazoa, Chordata, Lepidosauria, Squamata, Sphaerodactylidae.
ACCGUAAGGAGUCUCAAAGUGGCUUACAAACUCCUUCCCUUUCUCUCCCCACAACAGACAUCUUGUGAGGUAGGUGGGGUUGAGAGAGUUCUGAGAGAUCAGUGACUAGGUCACCCAACAAUCUCCAUGUGGAGGGAUGGGAAAUCAAACCCAGUUCUCUAGAUUAGAGAGUCCACCUGCUCUUAACCAC